AGACCCUUUAAUAUAGUCCAGAGAGGCUAAAAAGGCAUCGGAACAAUGAUAAAUGUAAUGGUCGUAUGUUCAAAUCCCUUUUUGCCUCUGUGGCGAAAAGGGAUUUUUCAG
Non-coding RNA from Lentibacillus amyloliquefaciens, 111 nucleotides. NCBI's taxonomy places the organism in Bacteria, Bacillati, Bacillota, Bacilli, Caryophanales, Bacillaceae. The record is from Rfam.